CAGAUACCUACUAUCCUGAGCGCUGCCGAGAGCCCCGGUGCUGUCGUCCUCCACGUAGGGAUGUGCGACACUGGGCCCCGGCAGACGGAGAUCCUCAAUCAAGCUUCAGGAGCUAGAUUGAGACGGUUUAACGCACCUCGCCCACCACGCAGAUCAUUGUUUCUGGACCAAUACCUACCUACUGCCGAGGAAAUGAAAGGUUCAGUAGACUUUUUGCUCUGAAUGAAUGGCUAUUAACAAGGUGUAAAGCAGUGUUUCCCAACCCUGUUCCUGAAGGCAGACCAACAGUCCACAUUUUCAACCUCUCCCUAAUCAAACACACCUGAAUCAUCUCAUCAUAACAUCAGAAGAGACUCCAAAACCUGAAGUUAAUGGGUCAGAUAACGGAGACAUCCAAAAUAUGUACUGUUGGUGUGCCUCCAGGAACAGGGUUGGGAAACACUGGUGUAAAGAACAGAAAUUUCUCUUUGCCAAUAACUGGAAUCUUUUCUGGGAGCGUCCUAGGCUUUUCCGUGCUGACGGCCUGCACCCCAGUCGAGCUGGAGCUGAACUCCUGUUGGACAACAUCUCCAGAAUACUUCGCUCUAUCUGACUAGCCCUCAGACUAUGCAGAGUCACUGAUUCGAUCCAAGACCAACGACGAGAUGAUCCCAAGGUUUCUAUAUCCUGGACCAGGCCGAAUCCUGAGCAGCUACUGUGAUGGUCAUGGAAGAGUGGAGAACAUGAGACUGAUUGCUGUGAUGCUCCAGAGACAGACGAGUCUUCGCUGAGGCCAGCUUCCAGCCUCCGCCACCGAGACUGCAGCUCUGCACAAGACGUUUGGCCAGUGGAGAAAUUAAAAUGAUCGUGCCCAACUGAGCCUGGUUUCUCUCAAGGUUUUUUUUCUUCAUUUCCACAAUUAGUGAAGUUUUUUUCCCUCUCCGCUGUCGUCACUGGCUUGCAUGGUUCGGGAUCUGUAGAGCUGCGCAUCGUUGGAUUUGCCCUUCAAUAUUUGCAAUCUCAGUAGUGAUUAUUAAACCACGCUGAACUGAGCUCAACUGAACUGAACUUAAACACUACAAACUGAACUACACUGUUCCUUGAACUACACUGUUCCUAUUUAAACUACACUGUUCCUAUUUACUGUGACCUUUUAUGUGAAGCUGCUUUGACACAAUCUACAUUGUAUAAGCGCUAUACAAAUAAAGGUGAAUUGAAUUGAAUUGAAU
Molecule: long non-coding RNA, 1208 nt
Organism: Danio aesculapii
Lineage: Eukaryota; Metazoa; Chordata; Actinopteri; Cypriniformes; Danionidae
Exons: 2
Source: RefSeq, a predicted model, not a curated record